AUACUUUAGGAGGCCGGCGUUAGCCCAAGCGGAGGAAAGAACGGGCAACGGUAGGUCAGUACGCCCCGAAUGNUCCGGGCAACACGCGGGCUACAAUGGUCGAGACAAUGGGAGGCGACCCCGAGAGGUGGAGCUAAUCUCCUAAACUCGAUCGUAGUUCGGAUUGAGGGCUGAAACUCGCCCUCAUGAAGCUGGAUUCGGUAGUAAUCGCG
This 212-nucleotide ribosomal RNA is filed under the name uncultured Halobacteriales archaeon. RNAcentral describes it as "partial 16S ribosomal RNA". It matches the Rfam family "Archaeal small subunit ribosomal RNA", at positions 1091 to 1302 of the family's 1478-position model. Lineage: Archaea; Methanobacteriati; Methanobacteriota; Halobacteria; Halobacteriales. The record is from RNAcentral.